RNAcentral lists this ribosomal RNA (423 nucleotides) under uncultured bacterium. Its description in RNAcentral is "bacterial SSU rRNA". It matches the Rfam family "Bacterial small subunit ribosomal RNA", at positions 354 to 776 of the family's 1533-position model. The record is from RNAcentral.
GUGGGGAAUAUUGCACAAUGGGCGCAAGCCUGAUGCAGCGACGCCGCGUGCGGGAUGGAGGCCUUCGGGUUGUAAACCGCUUUUGUUCAAGGGCAAGGCACGGCUUCGGGCCGUGUUGAGUGGAUUGUUCGAAUAAGCACCGGCUAACUACGUGCCAGCAGCCGCGGUAAUACGUAGGGUGCGAGCGUUAUCCGGAUUUAUUGGGCGUAAAGGGCUCGUAGGCGGUUCGUCGCGUCCGGUGUGAAAGUCCAUCGCCUAACGGUGGAUCUGCGCCGGGUACGGGCGGGCUGGAGUGCGGUAGGGGAGACUGGAAUUCCCGGUGUAACGGUGGAAUGUGUAGAUAUCGGGAAGAACACCAAUGGCGAAGGCAGGUCUCUGGGCCGUCACUGACGCUGAGGAGCGAAAGCGUGGGGAGCGAACAGG